This 166-nucleotide unclassified non-coding RNA is filed under the name soil metagenome. Its description in RNAcentral is "partial contains 5.8S ribosomal RNA, internal transcribed spacer 2, and large subunit ribosomal RNA". The record is from RNAcentral.
AACGCACGAGACCUGCGGACCUGCGGAGGGAUCAUUAGUGAACGCCCUCACGGGCUUAUAACUAUUCCGAACCUCUGUGAACCGUGCCCUUCGGGGCUAUUUUACAAACAUGGUGUAAUGAACGUCAUAUAUCAUAACAAAACAAAACUUUUAGCAAUGGAUCUCU